RNAcentral lists this long non-coding RNA (273 nucleotides) under Homo sapiens (human). Its description in RNAcentral is "non-protein coding lnc-APOL5-1:1". Lineage: Eukaryota; Metazoa; Chordata; Mammalia; Primates; Hominidae. The record is from RNAcentral.
CAACAGUGGCCCGAACCAUUGGACUCCUUGCUCAAAACUGCCUCAGCUCAUCUGCCUGAAAUUCCAGUUACUGUCAUGUUGUGGGGACCCAUAUAGGAACAAAACGUGGACUACUCGAGAGGUAGCUACCCUGCGCCCACAGACUGUGACAACGGAGGGUGACCCAGGAGGGGAAGCUGCCUCUCUUCCGGCCUAGGAUCCAUUGUCAUCUGCAGAGAGAGAAGUGCCAAGGGAUCCUCAGAGAUACCAUGACUGCAGCACCAACCAAAAUCC